GGGGAAUAUUGGACAAUGGGCGCAAGCCUGAUCCAGCCAUGCCGCGUGGGUGAUGAAGGCCCUAGGGUUGUAAAGCCCUUUCGGCGGGGAAGAUAAUGACGGUACCCGCAGAAGAAGCCCCGGCUAACUUCGUGCCAGCAGCCGCGGUAAUACGAAGGGGGCUAGCGUUGCUCGGAAUCACUGGGCGUAAAGCGCACGUAGGCGGACUCUUAAGUCGGGGGUGAAAUCCUGGAGCUCAACUCCAGAACUGCCUUCGAUACUGGGAGUCUUCGAGUUCGGGAGAGGUGAGUGGAACUGCGAGUGUAGAGGUGAAAUUCGUAGAUAUUCGCAAGAACACCAGUGGCGAAGGCGGCUCACUGGCCCGAUACUGACGCUGAGGUGCGAAAGCGUGGGGAGCAAAC
This 401-nucleotide ribosomal RNA is filed under the name uncultured bacterium. Its description in RNAcentral is "bacterial SSU rRNA". It matches the Rfam family "Bacterial small subunit ribosomal RNA", at positions 356 to 773 of the family's 1533-position model. The record is from RNAcentral.